AGAUUGAAUCCACAUCCUCAUGGAUAAUAGUCCCAUUUGCUACCACUGAGCUACAACAGGAACUCCCCAAAUGAUAUAAUUUGAUAUAUGUGAUUGAUACAAAGACAUUCGUGUUACCCGUAACACGCUGCUAUUCUCUGUCAGGCUAUCUGCUUCCACCUGACAUAAGAAAAUGAAUGACUCAAACAAACUUUUUGUAUUUGAAGUAGCAACUUAAGCUGUUGAGAAACUUGUUCAGCAUAAAGUGGGAGAUGCUCAAAGAUCCCCAGCUUUUUUUUUUUUUUUGAGACAACAUAUCUCACUGAGAUCUUUCCCAAGUGUGCUAGGGUUGUGGAGACAUCUGGAAACUGCCAAAGAGCAGGACUGAAACAGAGCUCAUGUCUAUAACAUCCUACUGGAAAGUGAAGGGAAAGUAAAGGAGUUGCUGGAAUUUCAAACUAUUUGGCUGCUAGCCAUAUCCCACAACACUGCCCACAGCAAAGAUGAGGCAAGCAGCUGCUUCCAGGAAGUUCCCUAGUUUAACUUGAAAUGUACAGAAGAAGAAAUACAAGCAUUCACUAACCGUAUGAAUUAUCAUCGGUGAUCAAAGAGCUACACAUCAAAACAAUGAGAUAUCUUUUCUUGCCCAUCAGUUUAAAAACGGGGGGAAAAGUGAUAAUGCAAUCCACAAUCCAUAUUGUGAACUUCAAAAUCUGUUAAGAAGGAAACGUAUACAACGCUAUAUGUCAAUCAUAUCUCAGAAAAGCUGGAAAACAAUUUUAAGACGGUAGAUCUCAUGUUAACCAUUCUAACCAAAGGGACACGGGGGCAUUCUGGGAGGUGUUAGGUGUUUGUUCCCUUGUGGUGAUCUUUGCAUACGUCCACACUCAUCACAUUUUGCACGUCACAUCAAGUAUAUGCUGUUCUUUGUAUAGCAAUGAUACCUCAAUAAAGCUGUUUAAAAUAUAUAUAUAUUAUAAUGUCUUGAGUUAGAAGGUGUAGAGAAAGGAGUACACUCAUCUUGAGAGAGGCUGGGACUGGGGACCCUUUACUGCAGGACUCGCACCUGGACAAACGUCUCCUUGAGCAACAGAAUACAAAGGAAGUGUAGGGGACUAAAAAUAACCGUGUGAAUGCCCAGUCUGAGCCAUUAUGAACAAUAAGAUACAAAAAGACCACAAACCAGAGUUCUUUGUGGCACAGCAGGUUAAGGAUCCUCAACAUUGUCACUGAAGCAGCUGGGGUCACUGCUGUGGUACAGUUUCCAUCCCUGGCCUGGGUGCAGCCAAAAAAAGAAAAGGCCACAGACCAACAACCACUUCUGAGGUUCGGGGAGCAAAAAGCAGGGUACUGCCCGUGAUCCCUGCACACAACACCACCAAGGCCACAGGCUGACCACCCAAGCCACCCCUCCAGCUCCACCCACCAUUCCGCCCCCACACUCACCCCAUUUAAGAAACCAGCCCGACCUCGGAGAGCUAGCCAGGGCACCUGUUUCUUGUUUUUGCUCAUUGGUGCUGAGCACGAGCACCCAUAAAGCCUUGCGUGAAAUUCUCGUCUGGCUCUUAUCAAUUCCUGUUGCUUAAGGAAUCCAGGGACCCAGGUUGGUGAUAAUACAGGGUUAGUGGGAGUAUCAACUGAUACAGUUGAUUUACAUUGUUGUGUGAUAAAAUCUUUCGAAAGCCUUGAAGAACGAGUACUCUGGGAUCAUCAAUUCUCCUUUUGGGAGUUUAUCUUAAAUAACCUGAGCUGAAGCCCGCUGGAUCUAACAGACGUUUGCAUAUCAGCAAGUACACGCACAUGAAAACAUGUGCCCUGGAAUUAACCAAAGAAACUUUGGCCACAGUUCUCUCCCUCCAAGAGAAAGCGAAGUGACGCAUACCUCAUGCCACUUCAUUAUGUCAGAGGUCUUCUCCCCCCCUUCUCCAACUGCAGGAAGGUUUCCGAAUUCACUGCCAGAGAUGCUGCAAAUCCUUACACACAGUAGGUGUUCAGUCAAUGUUUGCUAAAUAAAUAAAAAUACCAAAUUAUGACAUAUAUGACCUGUUUUCCAGAGGACUGGAAAUGAU
Molecule: non-coding RNA, 2048 nt
Organism: Sus scrofa (pig)
Lineage: Eukaryota; Metazoa; Chordata; Mammalia; Artiodactyla; Suidae
Source: RefSeq, a predicted model, not a curated record